This 75-nucleotide signal recognition particle RNA is filed under the name Luteimonas sp. RNAcentral's name for it is "partial signal recognition particle sRNA small type". It matches the Rfam family "Bacterial small signal recognition particle RNA", at positions 1 to 76 of the family's 97-position model. Rfam says of the family: The signal recognition particle (SRP) is a universally conserved ribonucleoprotein involved in the co-translational targeting of proteins to membranes. Archaeal SRP consists of a 7S RNA and homologues of the eukaryotic SRP19 and SRP54 proteins. The record is from RNAcentral. Lineage: Bacteria; Pseudomonadati; Pseudomonadota; Gammaproteobacteria; Lysobacterales; Lysobacteraceae.
CCGUCGGCCCCUCGCGACGCUAGAUCGAAAACUCCGCCAGGGCCGGAAGGCAGCAACGGUAUCGAUCGACGCGGG